Molecule: small nuclear RNA, 106 nt
Organism: Chelydra serpentina (North American snapping turtle)
Lineage: Eukaryota; Metazoa; Chordata; Testudines; Chelydridae
Gene: U5
Rfam family: U5 spliceosomal RNA
About the family: U5 RNA is a component of both types of known spliceosome. The precise function of this molecule is unknown, though it is known that the 5' loop is required for splice site selection and p220 binding, and that both the 3' stem-loop and the Sm site are important for Sm protein binding and cap methylation.
Source: Ensembl
AUACUUUGGUUUCUCUUCUGAUUGUAGAAAUCUUUUGCCUUUUAUUACAGAUUUCUGUGGAGAGGAACAUUUAUGAGUUUUGACCCAAUUUUUUGAGGCUUCAUUU